GAUGAACGCUGGCGGCGUGCCUAAUACAUGCAAGUCGAGCGAACAGACGAGGAGCUUGCUCCUCUGACGUUAGCGGCGGACGGGUGAGUAACACGUGGAUAACCUACCUAUAAGACUGGGAUAACUUCGGGAAACCGGCGCUAAUACCGGAUAAUAUAUUGAACCGCAUGGUUCAAUAGUGAAAGACGGUUUUGCUGUCACUUAUAGAUGGAUCCGCGCCGCAUUAGCUAGUUGGUAAGGUAACGGCUUACCAAGGCGACGAUGCGUAGCCGACCUGAGAGGGUGAUCGGCCACACUGGAACUGAGACACGGUCCAGACUCCUAAGGGAGGCAGCAGUAGGGAAUCUUCCGCAAUGGGCGAAAGCCUGACGGAGCAACGCCGCGUGAGUGAUGAAGGUCUUCGGAUCGUAAAACUCUGUUAUUAGGGAAGAACAAAUGUGUAAGUAACUAUGCACGUCUUGACGGUACCUAAUCAGAAAGCCACGGCUAACUACGUG
This 497-nucleotide ribosomal RNA is filed under the name uncultured bacterium. RNAcentral's name for it is "partial 16S ribosomal RNA". It matches the Rfam family "Bacterial small subunit ribosomal RNA", at positions 28 to 507 of the family's 1533-position model. The record is from RNAcentral.